RNAcentral lists this microRNA (23 nucleotides) under Caenorhabditis brenneri. Its description in RNAcentral is "cbn-miR-7622". The record is from miRBase by way of RNAcentral. Lineage: Eukaryota; Metazoa; Nematoda; Chromadorea; Rhabditida; Rhabditidae.
UCAAUUCAGGAUGGUGCAUAUGU